Neopsephotus bourkii (Bourke's parrot) is the source of this 573-nucleotide long non-coding RNA. RefSeq lists it as uncharacterized. The transcript is spliced from 3 exons. NCBI's taxonomy places the organism in Eukaryota, Metazoa, Chordata, Aves, Psittaciformes, Psittacidae. The record is from RefSeq and is a predicted model, not a curated record.
UACAUUUCAACAUGCAGCACUUACUUCUUUAGGACCUUUACUUUUUCCACUGUUUUCUCAGUAGACUAUUUCACUUCCUUUGACUCGGGCCUAACGAUAACACUGGAUUUGAAGCACGGAUCUCGGCGUUGAGCACACUGACGGGACCCAGAGGGACAGGAAGAAAGGAAAAUACCAGCUCUUGUUCAUGAUGGAGAUAAUCGCAGCUUUCACGCAGCCACCCAGGAGAGGUGAGCCCUGUUUGCUCCAGUGACUAAUUCCAGCUGAGCAGAGCACAUCUCGUCUCCGUUGGCAUUUCCCUUUGAAGGACCUUACCACCCAAAACCUGAUCUUACAAAUGUCAGGGGUAGAAACACACUUGAAGAAAAAGAGGCUUAAAAUGGUCAUGGGUUCGUUUACAGCCAAGAAUGGCAGUUAUAAAGGAAGAAGCAAAUAUUGAAACACAAGAUAAAAUCUUGAGACUUUUCAAAACUGAACACCACAGUCCUCCCAGAGCAAGAGCAGCUCUAAUUCUGGAGCUCAGACCGCAAAUCUCCACUAAGAAGGUAGAGAAAAAAUACAGCAAAAUAGUGU